GAAAAACGUUUGGGAAAACUGGAUGAGCUUGGUGUGGUCCAUGAAGCGGAUCUUGCACUAGUUACAGAAGGAUGACAUUCUAAAGGCCAUAGAUGUGCACAAGUGUAGUACACAUUUUAUAAAAGCGACAUGUGAACAAAAAACCCUCCAGAAACUUUAUUCCCAUUUCAAGACUAGGAGAUUUAUCCAGUCCAGAGCGAAACUCAAGUCAAGAAGAGUACCUUGAUCUUCUAUCACAGAAGACAUUUUUUGCCAACACUUCCAGAGCAAAUGAGUCACUUGGACACAGAAGGAUUUCAGUCUAUGACAGUGGAAACAAUCCUGGUGAUGUCUACUGGAACAAGGUAGCUAAUCAAGUUAAAAAGUAUUUUCAGAAAGGGGAAUGACAACUACCUUCGUCAGAAAGAAUUAGCUGGUACGAUAUUGUUGAUGACUCUACGUAUAAAGAUUUGUAUUUAAAAUUUGUAAGUAGCUCUCAAUCAACAAUUAUGAUAUUGUUUUUAUGGGUGAGUCAGUACAACAUAGUGUAUUGCAGUUCUUU
Molecule: long non-coding RNA, 541 nt
Organism: Anneissia japonica
Lineage: Eukaryota; Metazoa; Echinodermata; Crinoidea; Comatulida; Comatulidae
Exons: 3
Source: RefSeq, a predicted model, not a curated record